RNAcentral lists this ribosomal RNA (1400 nucleotides) under metagenome. RNAcentral's name for it is "bacterial LSU rRNA". It matches the Rfam family "Bacterial large subunit ribosomal RNA", at positions 1451 to 2875 of the family's 2925-position model. The record is from RNAcentral.
UUAUCAGAACUGUAGGGACGCAUGUGGAAAGCACGGGCCGGGAAUGGAAAGACCGGUACAAGCGGGGUAGGUGUACAAUAGGCAAAUCCGUUGUAUAAUCCGAAGACGUGAUGUGGAGCGAAAUAAAGUAGCAAAGCGUGUGAGCCAUGUGCCGAGAAAAGCUGCUAUUGUGUAAUGCGUGCCCGUACCGUAAACCGACACAGGUGGAUGAGGAGAGAAUCCUAAGGCCGACGGAAGAAGCAUUGUUAAGGAAUUCGGCAAAAUGACCCCGUAACUUCGGGAGAAGGGGUGCCUGCGAGAGCAGGCCGCAGAGAAUAGGCUCAAGCAACUGUUUAGCAAAAACACAGGUCUAUGCGAAACCGAAAGGUGAAGUAUAUGGGCUGACGCCUGCCCGGUGCUGGAAGGUUAAGAGGAGAGGUUAGCGUAAGCGAAGCUUUGAAUUUAAGCCCCAGUAAACGGCGGCCGUAACGAUAACGGUCCUAAGGUAGCGAAAUUCCUUGUCGGGUAAGUUCCGACCCGCACGAAAGGCGUAAUGAUUUGAGCACUGUCUCGACAAUGCAUCCGGUGAAAUUGAAGUACCAGUGAAGAUGCUGGUUACCCGCGCCAGGGCGGAAAGACCCCAUGGAGCUUUACUCCAGUUUGAUACUGGGAUUCGGUACUGCAUGUACAGGAUAGGUGGGAGACGAAGAAGGAUGGACGCCAGUCUGUCCGGAGUCGCUGUUGGGAUACCACCCCUGUAGUACUGGGUUUCUAACCAGUUGCCAUGAACUGGCAAUGGGACAAUGUCAGGCGGGGAGUUUGACUGGGGCGGUCGCCUCCGAAAGGGUAUCGGAGGCGCUCAAAGGUUCCCUCAGAAUGGUUGGAAACCAUUUGAAGAGUGCAAAGGCAGAAGGGAGCUUGACUGCGACACCGACGGGUGGAGCAGGUACGAAAGUAGGACUUAGUGAUCCGGUGGUAUAAAGUGGGAUUGCCAUCGCUCAACGGAUAAAAGCUACCCUGGGAUAACAGGCUUAUCACUCCCAAGAGUUCACAUCGACGGAGUGGUUUGGCACCUCGAUGUCGGCUCAUCGCAUCCUGGGGCUGUAGCAGGUCCCAAGGGUUGGGCUGUUCGCCCAUUAAAGCGGUACGCGAGCUGGGUUCAGAACGUCGUGAGACAGUUCGGUCCCUAUCCGGCGCGGGCGGAGGAUAUUUGAGAGGAGCUGUCCUUAGUACGAGAGGACCGGGAUGGACGGACCACUGGUGUAUCUGUUGUCGACCAACGGCAUGGCAGAGUAGCCAAGUCUGGAAGGGAUAAACGCUGAAGGCAUCUAAGCGUGAAGCCCCCCUCAAGAUGAGAUAUCCCUCCUUCGGGAGUAAGACCCCUUGAAGACUACAAGGUAGAUAGGGCAGAGGUGGAAGCA